RNAcentral lists this unclassified non-coding RNA (209 nucleotides) under Glomus sp. RNAcentral's name for it is "partial contains 5.8S ribosomal RNA and internal transcribed spacer 2". The stretch from base 1 to 65 matches the Rfam family "5.8S ribosomal RNA", at positions 84 to 154 of the family's 154-position model. Lineage: Eukaryota; Fungi; Glomeromycota; Glomeromycetes; Glomerales; Glomeraceae. The record is from RNAcentral.
GUGAAUCAUCGAAUUUUUGAACGCAAAUUGCACUCUCUUCGGGGAGUAUGCCUGUUUGAGGGUCAGCCUAAAAAAAAAAUCGACAUAGUCGCUGUUUCGCGGUUACAUUCGUCGGGCAUUGGAUCAUCUUAAACUUUUGGGUUUUAAUCGGCGUAAAAUUGUCUUUACGUUUCCACAACCGUUUCUAAGAAUUACUUCUUACAAUUUUA